This 361-nucleotide ribosomal RNA is filed under the name uncultured bacterium. RNAcentral's name for it is "bacterial SSU rRNA". It matches the Rfam family "Bacterial small subunit ribosomal RNA", at positions 152 to 507 of the family's 1533-position model. The record is from RNAcentral.
CGAAAGUUACGCUAAUACCGCAUAUUCUGUGAGCAGGAAAGCGAGGGGAUCGCAAGACCUUGCGUUCUGGGAGCGGCCGAUGUCGGAUUAGCUAGUUGGUGGGGUAAAAGCCUACCAAGGCGACGAUCCGUAGCGGGUCUGAGAGGAUGAUCCGCCACACUGGGACUGAGACACGGCCCAGACUCCUACGGGAGGCAGCAGUGGGGAAUUUUGGACAAUGGGCGGAAGCCUGAUCCAGCCAUGCCGCGUGAGUGAAGAAGGCCUUCGGGUUGUAAAGCUCUUUCGGUGGGGAAGAAAUUGCACGGGUUAAUACCCUGUGUAGAUGACGGUACCCGACUAAGAAGCACCGGCUAACUACGUG